This 792-nucleotide ribosomal RNA is filed under the name uncultured organism. RNAcentral describes it as "bacterial SSU rRNA". It matches the Rfam family "Bacterial small subunit ribosomal RNA", at positions 628 to 1424 of the family's 1533-position model. The record is from RNAcentral.
UGAUACUGUUUAUCUAGAGUACAUAUGAGGUAGGCGGAAUAUAGUAUGUAGCGGUGAAAUGCAUAGAUAUACUAUAGAACACCGAUUGCGAAGGCAGCUUACUAAAUUGUUACUGACGCUGAGGCACGAAAGCGUGGGGAGCGAACAGGAUUAGAUACCCUGGUAGUCCACGCAGUAAACGAUGAUUACUCGAUGUUGGCGAUACACUGUCAGCGUCUGCGCGAAAGCAUUAAGUAAUCCACCUGGGGAGUACGAUCGCAAGGUUGAAACUCAAAGGAAUUGACGGGGGCCCGCACAAGCGGAGGAGCAUGUGGUUUAAUUCGAUGAUACGCGAGGAACCUUACCUGGGCUUAAAUGUAGUGUGCAUUAGCGAUGAAAAUCCUAUUUCCUUCGGGACCCACUACAAGGUGCUGCAUGGUUGUCGUCAGCUCGUGCCGUGAGGUGUCGGGUUAAGUCCCAUAACGAGCGCAACCCCUAUUCUUAGUUGCCAUCAGGUAAUGCUGGGGACUCUAAGAAAACUGCCGGCGCAAGCCGUGAGGAAGGUGGGGAUGACGUCAAAUCAGCACGGCCCUUAUGUCCAGGGCUACACACGUGCUACAAUGGUCGGCACAAAGGGCAGCUACACAGCGAUGUGAUGCUAAUCUCCAAAGCCGAUCCUAGUUCGGAUCGAAGUCUGCAAUUCGACUUCGUGAAGUUGGAUUCGCUAGUAAUCGUAUAUCAGCAAUGAUACGGUGAAUAUGUUCCCGGGCAUGUACACACCGCCCGUCAAGCCAUGGAAGCUGAGGUACCUGA